This 253-nucleotide ribosomal RNA is filed under the name uncultured bacterium. Its description in RNAcentral is "partial 16S ribosomal RNA". It matches the Rfam family "Bacterial small subunit ribosomal RNA", at positions 524 to 776 of the family's 1533-position model. The record is from RNAcentral.
UACGUAGGGGGCAAGCGUUGUCCGGAAUCAUUGGGCGUAAAGCGCGUGUAGGCGGUUUCGUAAGUCUGCUGUGAAAGUCGGAGGCUCAACCUUCGAAAGCCGGUGGAUACUGUGAGACUUGAGUACGGAAGAGGAGAGUGGAAUUCCUGGUGUAGCGGUGAAAUGCGCAGAUAUCAGGAGGAACACCAACGGCGAAGGCAGCUCGCUGGGACGUUACUGACACUGAGGCGCGAAAGCGUGGGGAGCGAACAGG